RNAcentral lists this ribosomal RNA (422 nucleotides) under uncultured bacterium. RNAcentral describes it as "bacterial SSU rRNA". It matches the Rfam family "Bacterial small subunit ribosomal RNA", at positions 51 to 524 of the family's 1533-position model. The record is from RNAcentral.
ACACAUGCAAGUCGAACGCCCUCUUCGGAGGGAGUGGCAGACGGGUGAGAACGCGUGGGAAUUUACCCAAUGGUACGGAACAACUCCGGGAAACUGGACUAAUACCGCAUAAGCCCUUCGGGGGAAAGAUUUAUCGCCAUUGGAAAACCCGCGUUGGAUUAGCUUGUUGGUGAGGUAACGGCUCACCAAGGUUUCGUCCAUAGCUGGUCUGACAGGAUGAUCAGCCACACUGGGACUGAGACACGCCCACACUCCUACGGGAGGCAGCAGUGGGGAAUAUUGGACAAUGGGCGAAGCCUGAUCCAGCCAUGCCGCGUGAGUGAACAAGGCCUUAGGGUUGUAAGCUCUUUCGGGCGGGGAAGAUCAUGACCGGUACCCGCACAACAAGCCCCGCUAACUCCGGUGUCAGUAGGCGCGGUAAU